AAGUCGAACGCGUUGGCCCAAUUGAUUGAUGGUGCUUGCACCUGAUUGAUUUUGGUCGCCAACGAGUGGCGGACGGGUGAGUAACACGUAGGUAACCUGCCCAGAAGCGGGGGACAACAUUUGGAAACAGAUGCUAAUACCGCAUAACAGCGUUGUUCGCAUGAACAACGCUUAAAAGAUGGCUUCUCGCUAUCACUUCUGGAUGGACCUGCGGUGCAUUAGCUUGUUGGUGGGGUAACGGCCUACCAAGGCGAUGAUGCAUAGCCGAGUUGAGAGACUGAUCGGCCACAAUGGGACUGAGACACGGCCCAUACUCCUACGGGAGGCAGCAGUAGGGAAUCUUCCACAAUGGGCGCAAGCCUGAUGGAGCAACACCGCGUGAGUGAAGAAGGGUUUCGGCUCGUAAAGCUCUGUUGUUAAAGAAGAACACGUAUGAGAGUAACUGUUCAUACGUUGACGGUAUUUAACCAGAAAGUCACGGCUAACUACGUGCCAGCAGCCGCGGUAAUACGUAGGUGGCAAGCGUUAUCCGGAUUUAUUGGGCGUAAAGAGAGUGCAGGCGGUUUUCUAAGUCUGAUGUGAAAGCCUUCGGCUUAACCGGAGAAGUGCAUCGGAACUGGAUAACUUGAGUGC
RNAcentral lists this ribosomal RNA (633 nucleotides) under Limosilactobacillus fermentum. Its description in RNAcentral is "bacterial SSU rRNA". It matches the Rfam family "Bacterial small subunit ribosomal RNA", at positions 59 to 649 of the family's 1533-position model. Lineage: Bacteria; Bacillati; Bacillota; Bacilli; Lactobacillales; Lactobacillaceae. The record is from RNAcentral.